UGAGUACGAAAUGCUACGGCAUUGAAGCAGUCUAUGUCAUACUUCCUAGAAAAGCUUGCACUGUCAUAAACAAAUAAUGCCUGUACCAUAACCGACACAGGUGGGUAGGUAGAGUAUACUAAGGGGCGCGAGAUAACUCUCUCUAAGGAACUCGGCAAAAUGACUCCGUAACUUCGGGAGAAGGAGUGCCUUAUUUAUAAGGUUGCAAUAACAAGAUCCAAGCAACUGUUUAUCAAAAACACAGGUCUCCGCUAAGUCGUAAGACGAUGUAUGGGGGCUGACGCCUGCCCAGUGCCAGAAGGUUAAAGAAGUUGGUUAGCAUUCGCGAAGCUGAUAACUGAAGCCCUGGUGAACGGCGGCCGUAACAAUAACGGUCCUAAGGUAGCGAAACUCCUUGUCGGGUAAGUUCCGACCCGCACGAAAGGCGUAAUGAUUUGGAUACUGUCUCGGAGAGGGGCUCGGUGAAAUAGACUUGUCUGUGAAGAUGCGGACUACCUGCACCUGGACAGAAAGACCCUAUGAAGCUUUACUGUAACUUGAAAUUGAAAUUGGACUUUAUUUGCGCAGUAUAGGUGGGAGGCAUUGAAGAUAUUCUUGCGGGAAUAUUGGAGCCAUCAGUGAGAUACCACUCUUGUAAUGUUAGAUUUCUAACUUUGUAUCAUUAUCUGGUCAAAGAACAGUUUCAGGCGGGCAGUUUGACUGGGGCGGUCGCCUCCCAAAUGGUAACGGAGGCGCACAAAGGUUUCCUCUGAACGGGUAGAAAUCGUAUCUAGAGUGUAAAGGCAUAAGGAAGCUUGACUGUGAGACCUACAAGUCGAGCAGGGACGAAAGUCGGUCUUAGUGAUCUGACGGUGCUGAGUGGAAAGGCCGUCACUCAACGGAUAAAAGUUACUCUAGGAUAACAGGCUGAUCUCCCCCAAGAGUUCACAUCGACGGGGAGGUUUGGCACCUCGAUGUCGGCUCAUCGCAUCCUGGGGCGGUAGUACGUCCCAAGGGUUGGGCUGUUCGCCCAUGAAAGCGGUACGCGAGCUGGGUUCAGAACGUCGUGAGACAGUUCGGUCCAUAUCCGGUGUAGGCGUUAGAAUAUUGAGAGGAGCCUUCUUUAGUACGAGAGGACCGAGAAGGACAUACCUCUGGUGUACCAGUUAUUGUGCCAACGGUAAACGCUGGGUAGCUAUGUAUGGAGAGGAUAACCGCUGAAAGCAUCUAAGUGGGAAGCCCACCUCAAGAUAAGUAUUCU
This 1240-nucleotide ribosomal RNA is filed under the name metagenome. Its description in RNAcentral is "bacterial LSU rRNA". It matches the Rfam family "Bacterial large subunit ribosomal RNA", at positions 1564 to 2814 of the family's 2925-position model. The record is from RNAcentral.